GAGAUAGGUCCGACGACACCAAAGACUGCUAAUUUUUGCCACCUUGGUUAGACCCCAAGGCUUUCUCG
Molecule: transfer RNA, 68 nt
Filed under: Fistularia commersonii (bluespotted cornetfish)
Lineage: Eukaryota; Metazoa; Chordata; Actinopteri; Syngnathiformes; Fistulariidae
Description: tRNA-Ser
Source: RNAcentral